UCUCCGGGCCCCCGGGACCCUCCUGCCCUCCAGCCCUAACCCCGGCCCCUUCUCCCACCCCUUGCCAGCAGUGUUACAAGACUCAGGCGAAACUACCUCCUGAAGCGAAGCGCCGGGCCGGGCCUAAGCUCGGGCUCAGGCUCGGCGGUUCCUUUGGCUUUUCACUCACUUUUUGAGACUUGCUGUACAAAAGAAAAAAAAAAAAAUCUAUUUAAAUUUGGGAGCUCUAUUUAUGUAUAAAAACCCACCGAUGGUGGCCACGAGCUGCAGGCAGGAGCCAGAGCCGGGCUGAAGGUGGAUAUGGGGAGGGGGGUUUCUGUCUGUCUGUCUGUCCAGGUGAGAGAGACCCUGUCCCGCGUGCGUGGACUCAGCCUGCCCCUUCGGGCAUCCCCCAGCCCUCGGAGUGCGAGUGCUGGAGCCGGACAGCUGGUGAGAGGGUUUGCUCUCCCAGAGAGGACGGUCCAGCGAGGGACGAAGCCGGGGCGAGGAGGAGGUGCUGCCGUCCCCGCGCACCCAGGAGGGGCGCAGGCAACGCGUGCGGGGAGGUCGCGAGCGCCUGCUCCGAGGAGGGCGCAGCAGCCCCAGGGCGCCGCCGGCCAGAGGGGAGCGACUGGGACCCAGCAGCAGGCAGCGAGACACCGUCGCCGGAGCUGGACUGGCUGCCACCGUGCCGGGGCCGUGGAUGCGGGAGCCAGGGCGAGCGGCACGGCGGGUGCGUCCCCUGCUGCGGGUCCCUCCUCCCACCCACAGCACGGAGAGGGGCCAGCGCCUGCGUCCCCCCACCGCCAUCCUGGCUGGGCCGUGCUGCGCCCCUCCCACGUGGCGCCGGUGAAGAUUUGGGGCUGGAGGGAACGGUCCCCGCGCGCCCCCAAGAGCCCUGGAGAAGGGCCUGGCUCGCCCGAGGCCUCUUGCUCUCUGUGGCACUGCCCAGGGGAGCCGCUGUCCCCAGAUCCCCCCACCCAGCUCCGCUCCUGCCUCCCCCAGCCCGGGAUGGGGGGCCUGGGGGCCAGGCGGGGGCAAGCACAUGCCGUAUCCCAGGGACAGCCAGGGGAUGACAUGGGAUAGCCCAUGUCCCCCACGCGUUCCUCGCCCAGAGCCCAGCCCCAUGGUGGGCCGGGACUGGGGAAGGAGCCAUCGGGGCCAGCAGCGGGCCGGACCCCCGGCCCUCGUGCCCCGGAGGAGCGAGGCCUCGCGGGUAACGGGCCGAGCCGGGCUCCUGCGUCCCCCCGUUUUGCUGGCAGGGAGGUGCCGGCUCAGCCACCCCUGCGCAGCUCUGUGCCUCGGUUUCCCGACUGCCCUGGGCAGCAGGGUGCCCCCACCUGAGCUGUGGGGAGGGAGAAGUGUCCCCCAAGCCCUGUGCCCUAGACAGCAGCAUCACCCCCCCCCCCCAUGUCCAGCCCCCUUGGCCUGGCACCCCCCUCGCACAGCCCCGGAGGUGCCAGGGCGCCCCCAGGG
Molecule: long non-coding RNA, 1455 nt
Filed under: Apteryx owenii (little spotted kiwi)
Lineage: Eukaryota; Metazoa; Chordata; Aves; Apterygiformes; Apterygidae
Description: lncRNA (ENSAOWG00000005046.1)
Source: RNAcentral